AACGAACGCUGGCGGCAUGCCUAACACAUGCAAGUCGAACGAGACCUUCGGGUCUAGUGGCGCACGGGUGCGUAACGCGUGGGAGCCUGCCCUUAGGUUCGGAAUAACUCCCCGAAAGGGGUGCUAAUACCGGAUAAUGUCUUCGGACCAAAGAUUUAUCGCCUUUGGAUGGGCCCGCGUUGGAUUAGCUAGUUGGUAGGGUAAAAGCCUACCAAGGCGACGAUCCAUAGCUGGUCUGAGAGGAUGAUCAGCCACACUGGGACUGAGACACGGCCCAGACUCCUACGGGAAGCAGCAGUGGGGAAUAUUGGACAAUGGGCGAAAGCCUGAUCCAGCAAUGCCGCGUGAGUGAUGAAGGCCUUAGGGUUGUAAAGCUCUUUUACCCGGGAUGAUAAUGACAGUACCGGGAGAAUAAGCUCCGGCUAACUCCGUG
Molecule: ribosomal RNA, 433 nt
Filed under: uncultured bacterium
Lineage: Bacteria
Description: partial 16S ribosomal RNA
Rfam family: Bacterial small subunit ribosomal RNA
Source: RNAcentral